This 1057-nucleotide long non-coding RNA is filed under the name Oncorhynchus kisutch (coho salmon). RNAcentral describes it as "lncRNA (ENSOKIG00005031552.1)". The record is from RNAcentral. Lineage: Eukaryota; Metazoa; Chordata; Actinopteri; Salmoniformes; Salmonidae.
AUUAUACUAGUACUACUAUUAUUACUAUUACUACUACUACUAUUAUACUACUACUACUACUAUUAUUACUACUACUUCUACUACUAUUAUACUACUACUACUAUUAUUACUAUUACUACUACUACUAUUAUACUACUACUACUAUUAUUACUACUACUUCUACUACUAUUAUACUACUACUACUACUACUGCUACUACUACUAUACUACUUCUACUACUAUUAUACUACUAUUAUUACUAUUACUACUACUAUACUACUACUACUACUAUUAUACUACUACUACUACUAUUAUUACUACUACUAUUAUACUACUACUACUACUACUACUACUACUACUACUAUUAUUACUAUUACUACUACUACUAAACUACUUCUACUACUAUUAUACUACUACUACUAUUACUACUACUACUGCUACUACUACUAUACUACUUAUACUACUAUUAUACUACUAUUAUUACUAUUACUACUACUAUACUACUUCUACUACUAUUAUACUACUACUAUACUACUACUACUAUUAUACUACUACUACAACUACUACUACUAUUCAUACUAUUACUACUACUACUAAAUUACUUCUACUACUAUUAUACUACUACUACUAUUACUACUACUACUGCUACUACUACUAUACUACUUCUACUACUAUUAUACUACUAUUAUUACUAUUACUACUACUAUACUACUUCUACUACUAUUAUACUACUACUACUAUACUACUACUGCUACUAUUAUUAUUACUACUACUACUACUACUACUACUAUACUACUACUACUAAUAUACUACUACUGCUACUAUUAUUAUUACUACUACUACUACUACUAUACUACUACUACUAUUAUACUACUACUACUACUACUACUAUUCAUACUAUUACUACUACUAACAGGUGGUUCUAUUUGGCCCCUCAUUGUUGGACAUAAAAGACUGUAACAGCAGGAAAUCAUCUCCAAGUGAUUUUAAUAAGAAAUGUGUUCCGUAGUAUUCCUACGCAUAAUAGAGAGACGUGAUUGUAUACAGAUGUAAACAAGCGUUGAAAUGAGUGUUUCAUG